GGAAAACGAAGCCACUUGGAGUAGAUCUUUGCUAAGCAAAAGGGAAGAAGAAGUUUAGAGGAAGAUAAAAGAAUUUUACUAGUGUAGCAGGAUGCUGUAGGAUCCUGAAGGACUUUGGGCUUGUCAGAAAGUUGAUCUGCAGGUUCAAAAACAGAUGGAUUUUUGGAGGUGCUGCAUGCUUCUAUCUCCUACAGAAACUGUUCCUGCUGUUCCAUCUCCCACCUCAUUCUCUCCACUCCAAGUAGAAGGUACUUGGGCAAAUGACUGGGAGUUCUCUUGAGAUCAAAUGAUGAGGGCAGCCAUCCUCCAAGGCCUCCUACAGCAGGCUACACAGGUAGGCAUCCAAGCAGAUCUUCAAUAUCUCCAGAGAAGAAUUCACAACUUCCCUGGGAAGCCUGUUCCAGUGCUCCAUCACCCUUACUGUGAAGAAGUUCCUUCAGAUAUAGAACAAUUGAAGACAAGACCAGACCCAGUACUGACCCCUAGGGAGAUGGACCCCCAAAAACCCAUAUUCUCCAAUUUGGAGUCAAGGAUAUCAUGUGGAACUGCAUCUAAUACUUUGCACAAGUCCAGGGUACAGGAUAAUUUUGUUGGC
Gallus gallus (chicken) is the source of this 595-nucleotide long non-coding RNA. NCBI's taxonomy places the organism in Eukaryota, Metazoa, Chordata, Aves, Galliformes, Phasianidae. The record is from Ensembl.